UACGUAGGGUGCAAGCGUUAAUCGGAAUUACUGGGCGUAAAGCGUGCGCAGGCGGUCUGUUAAGACCGAUGUGAAAUCCCCGGGCUUAACCUGGGAACUGCAUUGGUGACUGGCAGGCUUUGAGUGUGGCAGAGGGAGGUAGAAUUCCACGUGUAGCAGUGAAAUGCGUAGAGAUGUGGAGGAAUACCGAUGGCGAAGGCAGCCUCCUGGGCCAACACUGACGCUCAUGCACGAAAGCGUGGGGAGCAAACAGG
Molecule: ribosomal RNA, 254 nt
Filed under: uncultured bacterium
Lineage: Bacteria
Description: partial 16S ribosomal RNA
Rfam family: Bacterial small subunit ribosomal RNA
Source: RNAcentral